GAUGAACGCUAGCUACAGGCUUAACACAUGCAAGUCGAGGGGCAGCAUUACGGUAGCUUGCUACUGUAGAUGGCGACCGGCGCACGGGUGAGUAACGCGUAUCCAACCUGCCCAUGACUUGGGGAUAACCUUGCGAAAGCAAGCCUAAUACCCGAUACGCUUCAUAGAUGGCAUCUGAAAUGAAGUAAAGGUUUACGGUUAUGGAUGGGGAUGCGUCCGAUUAGCUUGUUGGCGGGGUAACGGCCCACCAAGGCGACGAUGCGUAGGGGUUCUGAGAGGAAGGUCCCCCACACUGGUACUGAGACACGGACCAGACUCCUACGGGAGGCAGCAGUGAGGAAUAUUGGUCAAUGGGCGCAGGCCUGAACCAGCCAAGUCGCGUGAGGGAGGACGGUCCUACGGAUUGUAAACCUCUUUUGUCGGGGAGUAACGUGCGGGACGCGUCCCGUAUUGAGAGUACCCGAAGAAAAAGCAUCGGCUAACUCCGUG
This 489-nucleotide ribosomal RNA is filed under the name uncultured bacterium. Its description in RNAcentral is "bacterial SSU rRNA". It matches the Rfam family "Bacterial small subunit ribosomal RNA", at positions 28 to 507 of the family's 1533-position model. The record is from RNAcentral.